UACGUAGGGUGCAAGCGUUAAUCGGAAUUACUGGGCGUAAAGCGUGCGCAGGCGGUUAUGCAAGACAGAUGUGAAAUCCCCGGGCUCAACCUGGGAACUGCAUUUGUGACUGCAUGGCUGGAGUGCGGCAGAGGGGGAUGGAAUUCCGCGUGUAGCAGUGAAAUGCGUAGAUAUGCGGAGGAACACCGAUGGCGAAGGCAAUCCCCUGGGCCUGCACUGACGCUCAUGCACGAAAGCGUGGGAGCGAAACAGG
RNAcentral lists this ribosomal RNA (253 nucleotides) under uncultured bacterium. RNAcentral describes it as "partial 16S ribosomal RNA". It matches the Rfam family "Bacterial small subunit ribosomal RNA", at positions 524 to 776 of the family's 1533-position model. The record is from RNAcentral.